Molecule: ribosomal RNA, 2903 nt
Filed under: Citrobacter freundii
Lineage: Bacteria; Pseudomonadati; Pseudomonadota; Gammaproteobacteria; Enterobacterales; Enterobacteriaceae
Description: 23S ribosomal RNA
Rfam family: Bacterial large subunit ribosomal RNA
Source: RNAcentral
UUAAGCGACUAAGCGUACACGGUGGAUGCCCUGGCAGUCAGAGGCGAUGAAGGACGUGCUAAUCUGCGAUAAGCGUCGGUAAGGUGAUAUGAACCGUUAUAACCGGCGAUUUCCGAAUGGGGAAACCCAGUGUGAUUCGUCACACUAUCAUUACGUGAAUACAUAGCGUAAUGAAGCGAACCGGGGGAACUGAAACAUCUAAGUACCCCGAGGAAAAGAAAUCAACCGAGAUUCCCCCAGUAGCGGCGAGCGAACGGGGAGCAGCCCAGAGUCUGAAUCAGCUUGUGUGUUAGUGGAACGGUCUGGAAAGUCCGACGGUACAGGGUGAUAGUCCCGUACACCAAAAUGCACAGGUUGUGAACUCGAAGAGUAGGGCGGGACACGUGGUAUCCUGUCUGAAUAUGGGGGGACCAUCCUCCAAGGCUAAAUACUCCUGACUGACCGAUAGUGAACCAGUACCGUGAGGGAAAGGCGAAAAGAACCCCGGCGAGGGGAGUGAAAAAGAACCUGAAACCGUGUACGUACAAGCAGUGGGAGCCUCUUUAUGGGGUGACUGCGUACCUUUUGUAUAAUGGGUCAGCGACUUAUAUUCUGUAGCAAGGUUAACCGUAUAGGGGAGCCGAAGGGAAACCGAGUCUUAACUGGGCGUUAAGUUGCAGGGUAUAGACCCGAAACCCGGUGAUCUAGCCAUGGGCAGGUUGAAGGUUGGGUAACACUAACUGGAGGACCGAACCGACUAAUGUUGAAAAAUUAGCGGAUGACUUGUGGCUGGGGGUGAAAGGCCAAUCAAACCGGGAGAUAGCUGGUUCUCCCCGAAAGCUAUUUAGGUAGCGCCUCGUGAACUCAUCUUCGGGGGUAGAGCACUGUUUCGGCUAGGGGGUCAUCCCGACUUACCAACCCGAUGCAAACUGCGAAUACCGAAGAAUGUUAUCACGGGAGACACACGGCGGGUGCUAACGUCCGUCGUGAAGAGGGAAACAACCCAGACCGCCAGCUAAGGUCCCAAAGUCAUGGUUAAGUGGGAAACGAUGUGGGAAGGCACAGACAGCCAGGAUGUUGGCUUAGAAGCAGCCAUCAUUUAAAGAAAGCGUAAUAGCUCACUGGUCGAGUCGGCCUGCGCGGAAGAUGUAACGGGGCUAAACCAUGCACCGAAGCUGCGGCAGCGACACUAUGUGUUGUUGGGUAGGGGAGCGUUCUGUAAGCCGUUGAAGGUGUACUGUGAGGUAUGCUGGAGGUAUCAGAAGUGCGAAUGCUGACAUAAGUAACGAUAAUGCGGGUGAAAAACCCGCACGCCGGAAGACCAAGGGUUCCUGUCCAACGUUAAUCGGGGCAGGGUGAGUCGACCCCUAAGGCGAGGCCGAAAGGCGUAGUCGAUGGGAAACAGGUUAAUAUUCCUGUACUUGGUGUUACUGCGAAGGGGGGACGGAGAAGGCUAUGUUAGCCGGGCGACGGUUGUCCCGGUUUAAGCAUGUAGGCGGAGGUUCCAGGUAAAUCCGGUACCUUUUAACGCUGAGGUGUGAUGACGAGGCACUACGGUGCUGAAGUAACAAAUGCCCUGCUUCCAGGAAAAGCCUCUAAGCAUCAGGUAACACGAAAUCGUACCCCAAACCGACACAGGUGGUCAGGUAGAGAAUACCAAGGCGCUUGAGAGAACUCGGGUGAAGGAACUAGGCAAAAUGGUGCCGUAACUUCGGGAGAAGGCACGCUGAUAUGUAGGUGAAGUGAUUUACUCAUGGAGCUGAAAUCAGUCGAAGAUACCAGCUGGCUGCAACUGUUUAUUAAAAACACAGCACUGUGCAAACACGAAAGUGGACGUAUACGGUGUGACGCCUGCCCGGUGCCGGAAGGUUAAUUGAUGGGGUUAUCCGUAAGGAGAAGCUCUUGAUCGAAGCCCCGGUAAACGGCGGCCGUAACUAUAACGGUCCUAAGGUAGCGAAAUUCCUUGUCGGGUAAGUUCCGACCUGCACGAAUGGCGUAAUGAUGGCCAGGCUGUCUCCACCCGAGACUCAGUGAAAUUGAACUCGCUGUGAAGAUGCAGUGUACCCGCGGCAAGACGGAAAGACCCCGUGAACCUUUACUAUAGCUUGACACUGAACACUGGUCCUUGAUGUGUAGGAUAGGUGGGAGGCUUUGAAGUGUGGACGCCAGUCUGCAUGGAGCCAUCCUUGAAAUACCACCCUUUAAUGGCUGGUGUUCUAACGUGGACCCGUAAUCCGGGUUGCGGACAGUGUCUGGUGGGUAGUUUGACUGGGGCGGUCUCCUCCUAAAGAGUAACGGAGGAGCACGAAGGUUAGCUAAUCCUGGUCGGACAUCAGGAGGUUAGUGCAAAGGCAUAAGCUAGCUUGACUGCGAGAGUGACGGCUCGAGCAGGUGCGAAAGCAGGUCUUAGUGAUCCGGUGGUUCUGAAUGGAAGGGCCAUCGCUCAACGGAUAAAAGGUACUCCGGGGAUAACAGGCUGAUACCGCCCAAGAGUUCAUAUCGACGGCGGUGUUUGGCACCUCGAUGUCGGCUCAUCACAUCCUGGGGCUGAAGUAGGUCCCAAGGGUAUGGCUGUUCGCCAUUUAAAGUGGUACGCGAGCUGGGUUUAGAACGUCGUGAGACAGUUCGGUCCCUAUCUGCCGUGGGCGCUGGAGAAUUGAGGGGGGCUGCUCCUAGUACGAGAGGACCGGAGUGGACGCAUCACUGGUGUUCGGGUUGUCAUGCCAAUGGCAUUGCCCGGUAGCUAAAUGCGGAAGAGAUAAGUGCUGAAAGCAUCUAAGCACGAAACUUGCCCCGAGAUGAGUUCUCCCUGAGACUAUAAGUCUCCUGAAGGAACGUUGAAGACGACGACGUUGAUAGGUCGGGUGUGUAAGUGUAGCGAUACAUUGAGCUAACCGAUACUAAUGAACCGUGAGGCUUAACCU